UACGUAGGAAGCAAGCGUUGUCCGGAAUCAUUGGGCGUAAAGCGCGCGUAGGUGGCUUCGUAAGUCCGUUGUGAAAGUCAAAGGCUCAACCUUUGAAAGCCGAUGGAUACUGCGGAGCUAGAGUACGGAAGAGGCGAGUGGAAUUCCUGGUGUAGCGGUGGAAUGCGCAGAUAUCAGGAGGAACACCAAUAGCGAAGGCAGCUCGCUGGGACGUUACUGACACUAAGGCGCGAAAGCGUGGGGAGCGAACAGG
RNAcentral lists this ribosomal RNA (253 nucleotides) under uncultured bacterium. Its description in RNAcentral is "partial 16S ribosomal RNA". It matches the Rfam family "Bacterial small subunit ribosomal RNA", at positions 524 to 776 of the family's 1533-position model. The record is from RNAcentral.